GUGUCAGCCGCCGCGGUAAUACGGACCCUGCAAGCGUUAAUCGGAAUUACUCCCCGUAAAGCGCACGCAGGCGGUUGGAUAAGAAAGAUGUGAAAGCCGGGGGCUCAACCUGGGAAUUGCAUUUAAAACUGUCCAGCUAGAGUCAAGUAGAGGGGGGUAGAAUUCCAGGUGUAGCGGUGUUAUGCGUAGAGAUCUGAAGGAAUACCGGUGGCGAAGGCGGCCCCCUGGACAGAUACUGACACUCAGAUGCGAAAGCGUGGGGAGCAAACAGGAUUAGAUACCCCAGUAGUCC
This 292-nucleotide ribosomal RNA is filed under the name uncultured prokaryote. RNAcentral's name for it is "partial 16S ribosomal RNA". It matches the Rfam family "Bacterial small subunit ribosomal RNA", at positions 505 to 796 of the family's 1533-position model. The record is from RNAcentral.